Molecule: ribosomal RNA, 505 nt
Filed under: uncultured bacterium
Lineage: Bacteria
Description: partial 16S ribosomal RNA
Rfam family: Bacterial small subunit ribosomal RNA
Source: RNAcentral
AUUGAACGCUGGCGGCAGGCUUAACACAUGCAAGUCGAGCGGAGCGAGGGUGCUUGCACCUUAGCUUAGCGGCGGACGGGUGAGUAAUGCUUAGGAAUCUGCCUAUUAGUGGGGGACAACAUUCCGAAAGGAAUGCUAAUACCGCCUACGCCCUACGAGGGAAAGCAGGGGAUCUUCGGACCUUGCGCUAAUAGAAUAGCCUAAGUCGGAUGGGCUAUGGAGUUGGUGGGGUAAAGGCCCAACAAGGCGACGAUCUGUAGCGGGUCUGAGAGGAUGAUCCGCCACACUGGGACUGAGACACGGCCCAGACUCCUAAGGGAGGCAGAAGUGGGGAAUAUUGGACAAUGGGCGGAAGCCUGAUCCAGCCAUGCCGCGUGUGUGAAGAAGGCCUUUUGGUUGUAAAGCACUUUAAGCGAGGAGGAGGCUACUUAGAUUAAUACUCUGGGAUAGUGGACGUUACUCGCAGAAUAAGCACCGGCUAACUCUGUGCCAGCAGCCGCCGUAA